RNAcentral lists this transfer RNA (95 nucleotides) under Tilletia controversa (dwarf bunt fungus). It matches the Rfam family "tRNA". From Rfam's summary of the family: Transfer RNA (tRNA) molecules are approximately 80 nucleotides in length. Their secondary structure includes four short double-helical elements and three loops (D, anti-codon, and T loops). Further hydrogen bonds mediate the characteristic L-shaped molecular structure. tRNAs have two regions of fundamental functional importance: the anti-codon, which is responsible for specific mRNA codon recognition, and the 3' end, to which the tRNAs corresponding amino acid is attached (by aminoacyl-tRNA synthetases). tRNAs cope with the degeneracy of the genetic code in two manners: having more than one tRNA (with a specific anti-codon) for a particular amino acid; and 'wobble' base-pairing, i.e. permitting non-standard base-pairing at the 3rd anti-codon position. Lineage: Eukaryota; Fungi; Basidiomycota; Exobasidiomycetes; Tilletiales; Tilletiaceae. The record is from Rfam by way of RNAcentral.
GGUGAGAUGGCCGAGCGGUUAAGGCGCUACGUUAAGGUUGACCUUAAUUAAUUCCGUAGUCCGAAAGGGCGUGGGUUCGAAUCCCACUCUCAUCA